RNAcentral lists this transfer RNA (72 nucleotides) under Camelus bactrianus (Bactrian camel). It matches the Rfam family "tRNA". From Rfam's summary of the family: Transfer RNA (tRNA) molecules are approximately 80 nucleotides in length. Lineage: Eukaryota; Metazoa; Chordata; Mammalia; Artiodactyla; Camelidae. The record is from Rfam by way of RNAcentral. RNAcentral also lists the same sequence under 1 other name.
GAGGGUAUAGCUCAGUGAUAGAGCACGUGCUUGGCAUGCAUGAGAUCUUGGGUUCAAUCCCCAAUACCUUCG